This 328-nucleotide ribosomal RNA is filed under the name uncultured eukaryote. RNAcentral's name for it is "partial 18S ribosomal RNA". It matches the Rfam family "Eukaryotic small subunit ribosomal RNA", at positions 1470 to 1796 of the family's 1831-position model. The record is from RNAcentral.
CCCUUAGAUGUUCUGGGCUGCACGCGCGCUACACUGAUGCAUGCAACGAGUUUUCGACCUUGCCUGAAAAGGUUGGGUAAUCUGUUUAACAUGUGUCGUGAUGGGGAUGGACCAUUGAAAUUAUUAAUCUUGAACGAGGAAUUCCUAGUAAACGCAGAUCAUCAAUCUGCAUUGAUUACGUCCCUGCCCUUUGUACACACCGCCCGUCGCACCUACCGAUUGGAUGGUCCGGUGAAGCCUCGGGAUUGUGGUUCUUGCCGCUUUAUUGUGGCGUGACCGCGAGAACUUGUCUAAACCUUAUCAUCUAGAGGAAGGUGAAGUCGUAACA